AAGAGCCAAACAUGGUGUACCAACAAACCAUAUAUAAAACCAACUAGAUACUGCUGACGGUUAGUAAAUUUUGCAACACAUUGUUUACAUCCACUAACGCUCCAUUUAGCUUAAAAUUUUUUACCUCUGCGGAAAAAGGUAUGUUUGAUUGCAAAAAUGGAAGUUACAUGAGCAUUUCAGAGUAAACGCCUCUGCUUAGUGACCCUGCUUAAUACAUCUGAUUUCUAAAGAAUCCUUGGGUCGCCACGUUCAAGCUAUGCAUAGUAAACAAGAUUACGGGCCAAUCAUUUUCAGCUGCUUGACCUGUAAAAGCUGUACAUAUAACCGAUGAUUCACCUCGUGGCAGAAGUUUAGUGACAUGUAGUUGUAUUUAGAACUGGCAUGACUCAUCAAACAUGAACCUCCAUAGGAUGUGCUUAGCAUUCUCCACAGUACAACUGUCAAAUUCCAUUCAGAAGCAACACACUGAGCUGGCCUUGCUAGCAACAGGGCGAUCAUGGAUGUUUUUCAUUAUGUAUUUAGAGCAAAAACAUUGAAGAAGAAUGUAAAGUCAUUCGUAUUGGAUAAAAUUUCUAGAAUCUCAGUUUCACAAUUGAUUAGUACCAAAUCUCUUCAAGUUACUGACUUUUGUUAGAAGCAAAUCAAGUAAGAGACACCGGUUAAAGACUCGGAAUAUGCUUCCCCCGAAUAAACUGUUUGAGAAUGGCUUUCUCUUCAUCAAUUUGUUGCUUCUCAUCAGAAUCCUUUGGCUUGAUUUUUCUUUUCUCUUCCAAUAUCCAAUUGAAAAGCUCACGCUGCUGAUCCUCAG
Molecule: long non-coding RNA, 808 nt
Filed under: Ricinus communis (castor bean)
Lineage: Eukaryota; Viridiplantae; Streptophyta; Magnoliopsida; Malpighiales; Euphorbiaceae
Description: long non-coding RNA (RCOM_LNC000386)
Source: RNAcentral